ACAUCGGAUCUCUUGGCUCUCCUUUCAAUAAAGAAUCUCUUGAAAUGCGAUACGUAAUGUGAAUUGCAGAAUUCAGUGAAUCAUCGAAUCUUUGAACGCACCUUGCGCCCUUUGGCCUUCCAACGGGCCUUGCCGCCUUUAGUGUUUCCGAAUUCCCCACCCCCUUUCUUUGUCUCUUUAGACCCAAGGAUCUAUUUUUCAUCUGGACGCCUUAUGAUGGUUGCACUUUGAAGGCAUUUGCUGCCGUUUCUCUCUUUUGGGUGGGCUGUUCCUCUCCUAUGAAUGAUAGGGGUUCUCUUUGCCGAGCCUCGACGUGCGAUACAAUGUUUCCAUGUCGUGUCUUAUGGCUCUGUGGCCUUUGGGACCCGCUUCAUAACCUCUCUCUGAGAAGCCAAUGCUCGAGCACGUCUCCCUUCUCGGGAACCACUGACAAAACCCGCUACCCU
This 446-nucleotide ribosomal RNA is filed under the name Russula sp. RNAcentral's name for it is "eukaryotic LSU rRNA". The stretch from base 1 to 147 matches the Rfam family "5.8S ribosomal RNA". Lineage: Eukaryota; Fungi; Basidiomycota; Agaricomycetes; Russulales; Russulaceae. The record is from RNAcentral.